This 1265-nucleotide long non-coding RNA is filed under the name Piliocolobus tephrosceles (Ugandan red Colobus). Its description in RNAcentral is "lncRNA (ENSPTEG00000011463.1)". Lineage: Eukaryota; Metazoa; Chordata; Mammalia; Primates; Cercopithecidae. The record is from RNAcentral.
AUGCAAUAUUGUCUAGAUUAAAUUCAGUUGAAAAUAUAAAAUCUUCUUCAACUACAUUAAUGAAUACAAGUGAGUAUGAAAGUAUAAAAAGAAUCACAUACCCUAGCACAUACGACGAAAAUAAAGAUGAAAUAAAAAAAUAUUCUAGCCCUAUCGAAUUAGUAGGUGGUGAAAAACAUGAAAUUGUGUUAGAAAUUUCAUAUUCAGGACAUUUAAAAUAUAAUAAAAUUGAAACUAGUUUUUUUAAAUUGUUAUGGAAAUCAAGCAGAAUAGAUAUACAGGUAAUACAAAGUAGUUAUUUUUUUAGUGAAAAUGUUAUUCCACCUACUAGAUUUUCAUUGAUAGAUGCAGAUUUAUUUGAAAUAGGUUUGUUAGAUCAAAAUGAGACGAUAUAUAAAAAAGAAUAUGAUAAAAUUCUAGUUAGUAAUAUGGAAGAGGGUGAGAAAAAGGAAGGGUAUGAACAAAAUGUAUCUAACUGGGUAGUAGAAUCUGUACCAACAAAAUACAUUAACUUACAUACGUUAAAAACUAAUAUGAAUCCUAAUUUUACAACAUUUCGUAUAUCAAUUAAUACAGGUUCUAUUUUAUUUAUUGCUUUUCCAGAUGAAGAUAAUUUACCAGUUAGUCCAGUAAAAGAAUCUGCUUGGCAAGCAUAUGACACAAGUGAUAUGAUUGAAGUAAAAAACAAAAUAACAAAUGAGAAAAUAAAAUUUAAAAUAAAAUAUAUUUCAUUAAAAAAUAAAACAAUAUUAACAUUUAAGUUAAUGAAAAAUGUACCUUUUUUUUUUUUUUUACAAAAAAGAAAAAUAUUACCAACAAUAUGUAAUGGUGAAGAAGAAAUAUUAUCAAAUCCGAAAAAUCGAGCAUUUAAAAGUUGUACUGAAUCGUCUAUAUUAUCUAAACAUUUUGAUUGUUUAGCUGGUUUGAACGGUUUAUAUAAAGAUACAAAAUAUAAUGUAUGGCGAAGUUACAAUGGUUCGAUUGGUGAAUAUAUAAAAGUAUUUUUUCAUACGUCUGUACAAAUUAAUAAAUUUAAAUUUAAACCGAGAGACGAUAUAUUAACAUGGCCAUCAGAAAUAGAGCUACAUUUUGAUGACAAUAAAAUUACUGUUCCCAUUUUACAUACAUAUAAUAAAGAAUAUAACACUACCAAAUUAGAACACCCUGUUAUUACUACUUCGGUAAAAAAUAGAAAUUAAAGACAUGUUUAGAAAUAGCCAUGAAACUGGCGGUUCUUUUGAAUUAAUAGGAAAUAUUUGUAACAU